Molecule: ribosomal RNA, 301 nt
Filed under: uncultured bacterium
Lineage: Bacteria
Description: partial 16S ribosomal RNA
Rfam family: Bacterial small subunit ribosomal RNA
Source: RNAcentral
CAGUAGCCACGGUAAUACGUAGGUGGCGAGCGUUGUCCGGAAUCAUUGGGCGUAGAGGGAGCGCAGGCGGGCAUGUAAGUCUUUCUUAAAAGUUCGGGGCUCAACCCCGUGAUGGGAAAGAAACUACAUGUCUUGAGUACAGGAGAGGAAAGCGGAAUUCCCAGUGUAGCGGUGAAAUGCGUAGAUAUUGGGAGGAACACCAGUGGCGAAGGCGGCUUUCUGGACUGCAACUGACGCUGAGGCUCGAGAGCCAGGGGAGCGACCGGGAUUAGAUACCCGUGUAGUCCCUGUCUCUUAUACA